AUACUUACCUGGGUCGUGUGUCUGGUGAUCAAUGAGUCUGGACGCACAGGGGAUCUGACUGUCAUUGCACUGCGAUGGUCGGAUUCUCUGCGAACACCUUCGGGUGUCUCGAGGCCGCAAUUUUUGCUUGAGGGAGGAGUAGCUUGCUACUACCUCCCU
This 159-nucleotide small nuclear RNA is filed under the name Phycomyces blakesleeanus NRRL 1555(-). Its description in RNAcentral is "U1 spliceosomal RNA". It matches the Rfam family "U1 spliceosomal RNA". Rfam says of the family: U1 is a small nuclear RNA (snRNA) component of the spliceosome (involved in pre-mRNA splicing). The record is from Rfam by way of RNAcentral. Lineage: Eukaryota; Fungi; Mucoromycota; Mucoromycetes; Mucorales; Phycomycetaceae.